Nematostella vectensis (starlet sea anemone) is the source of this 632-nucleotide long non-coding RNA. RefSeq lists it as uncharacterized. The record is from RefSeq and is a predicted model, not a curated record. Lineage: Eukaryota; Metazoa; Cnidaria; Anthozoa; Actiniaria; Edwardsiidae. The transcript is spliced from 3 exons.
UAUUCAUGUAACAGGAGGUGAUGAUAGUCGUAUUCAUGUAACAGGAGGUGAUGAUAGUCGUAUUCAUGUAACAGGAGGUGAUGAUAGUCGUAUUCAUGUAACAGGAGGUGAUGUUAGUCGUAUUCAUGUAACAGGAGGUGAUGUUAGUCGUAUUCAUGUAACAGGAGGUGAUGAUAGUCGUAUUCAUGUAACAGGAGGUGAUGAUAGUCGUAUUCAUGUAACAGGAGGUGAUGAUAGUCGUAUUCAUGUAACAGGAGGUGAUGUUAGUCGUAUUCAUGUAACAGGAGGUGAUGAUAGUCGUAUUCAUGUAACAGGAGGUGAUGAUAGUCGUAUUCAUGUAACAGGAGGUGAUGAUAGUCGUAUUCAUGUAACAGGAGGUGAUGAUAGUCGUAUUCAUGUAACAGGAGGUGAUGAUAGUCGUAUUCAUGUAACAGGAGGUGAUGAUAGUCGUAUUCAUGUAACAGGAGGUGAUGUUAGUCGUAUUCAUGUAACAGGAGGUGAUGAUAGUCGUAUUCAUGUAACAGGAGGUGAUGAUAGUCGUAUUCAUGUAACAGGAGGUGAUGUUAGUCGUAUUCAUGUAACAGGAGGUGGUGUUUAGUCAAGUGCAAAUAGAAUAGGCUAGACCUAGUAGA